UAAUGUUUAUUGAAUCUGGCACUAGGUACAUAAAAGGACACUGGUCAGCGCGCCCUCAGGAAAAUAACAAUUAACCUAAGCAAGGCAGGCAAGAGCCAUUGCUAAAGCAGUUAGUCAACCAUGUGGAAAACACUGUGUACAUAAUUACGUACUGGGAAAGUCGCUGAGUGAAAGUUAACAUCUUUUUGUAAAGGCCUCCAAGAAAAGCAAAUGUCAUCCAGAGACCACACAUCUUCACAGGACAGAAAAUCCUGCAGAUCUCGAUCAUUCAGCCACUCCUCAGAAGGCUCUUGAAUGUUUUCCCAGGGGGCAGUUCCUGAAAUGAAAACAACAAUUUUCAUGCCCUUGCCACACUGAAUUAACAACUUCUGUGCCGUACUUGCCCGUGCUGUUCCCUCUGCGUACGGUGGAUUUUCUGCCUCUUUCCAUGGUGGUAAUUACAAGACAUGCUUCAAGACCCAACUCAAAGGUAGUCAUCCUAAGCCUCCAGAGGUCCUCUGCUUUGAUUAUACUUGGCAUCUUUUUCCUAAUAUUAUGAUAAUAAAAUUAUUAGUAACUGUUGGUAUGUCAG
Long non-coding RNA from Tupaia belangeri chinensis (Chinese tree shrew), 571 nucleotides. RefSeq lists it as uncharacterized. The record is from RefSeq and is a predicted model, not a curated record. Lineage: Eukaryota; Metazoa; Chordata; Mammalia; Scandentia; Tupaiidae. The transcript is spliced from 3 exons.